Molecule: ribosomal RNA, 808 nt
Filed under: uncultured bacterium
Lineage: Bacteria
Description: bacterial SSU rRNA
Rfam family: Bacterial small subunit ribosomal RNA
Source: RNAcentral
AGAGUUUGAUCAUGGCUCAGGAUGAACGCUGGCGGCGUGCCUAAUACAUGCAAGUCGAGCGAAUGGAUUAAGAGCUUGCUCUUAUGAAGUUAGCGGCGGACGGGUGAGUAACACGUGGGUAACCUGCCCAUAAGACUGGGAUAACUCCGGGAAACCGGGGCUAAUACCGGAUAACAUUUUGAACCGCAUGGUUCGAAAUUGAAAGGCGGCUUCGGCUGUCACUUAUGGAUGGACCCGCGUCGCAUUAGCUAGUUGGUGAGGUAACGGCUCACCAAGGCAACGAUGCGUAGCCGACCUGAGAGGGUGAUCGGCCACACUGGGACUGAGACACGGCCCAGACUCCUACGGGAGGCAGCAGUAGGGAAUCUUCCGCAAUGGACGAAAGUCUGACGGAGCAACGCCGCGUGAGUGAUGAAGGCUUUCGGGUCGUAAAACUCUGUUGUUAGGGAAGAACAAGUGCUAGUUGAAUAAGCUGGCACCUUGACGGUACCUAACCAGAAAGCCACGGCUAACUACGUGCCAGCAGCCGCGGUAAUACGUAGGUGGCAAGCGUUAUCCGGAAUUAUUGGGCGUAAAGCGCGCGCAGGUGGUUUCUUAAGUCUGAUGUGAAAGCCCACGGCUCAACCGUGGAGGGUCAUUGGAAACUGGGAGACUUGAGUGCAGAAGAGGAAAGUGGAAUUCCAUGUGUAGCGGUGAAAUGCGUAGAGAUAUGGAGGAACACCAGUGGCGAAGGCGACUUUCUGGUCUGUAACUGACACUGAGGCGCGAAAGCGUGGGGAGCAAACAGGAUUAGAUACCCCCGUAGUCC